Cajanus cajan (pigeon pea) is the source of this 331-nucleotide non-coding RNA. The record is from RefSeq and is a predicted model, not a curated record. Lineage: Eukaryota; Viridiplantae; Streptophyta; Magnoliopsida; Fabales; Fabaceae.
UUAAAUUUGAUUCAGUUCCUAUGCAUACUAGAAUAAAUUUGCAUUCAUAUUUCAAAUUUGAGAGUUAAUACAUGGUUAUUUUAAUAUCAUUUAUGCUAUUUAUUCUCUUUUGAGAAAUAGAUGAAUUAUCUGAUUUUGUUUGUUCAUGCCAAAUAUAUAGAGGGGAGAGAACUGGUGCAGAUAUUGCUUGCAGCUGGAGCUGAUCCAUCUGCUCAAGAUUCACAGAAUGGGAGGACAGCUUUGCAUACUAGUGGACAGGCAUAAAAAUGAGGUCCCAAAAGAAUAAAAAGGCAGAACAAAAGUGGGAAUAUGGAAUAUCAGCCGCGACAAA